CUGCCUCCAGCAGCUCUCGGCCACGCGACCGUGCGGUCAGCGGCGCUUGGAGGGCGGCCGGAGCUGGGCCUGAGCCUGGAGACUCGCCUGAUCCCGGGCGGCCGAACCACCAUCACCACAACCGCCCCACCCCCGCCGUCGCCUCGUGGGGCCCCGGCCCCCUCCCGGGUCCGAUGCACUCCAGGGUGGGCCAGGAGAAAAGAGAAAAGACAGCUUGGUGAUGACUAAGAAGCCUUCUCUCCUCAGACAUGGUGGGAUGUACUCUGAUCUAGAGCAGGCAGCUGGCCAGAGGCCCACAGGGAGCUCAGUGAUUGGCCUCAGAUGACCUUGGGGACAAAGAUUGUCCUGUGAAGGGAAGUGAUGGCACAGGCUCUGAUCAGCUCUUCUGGGAACAGACAGAGAAGUGAGAAUUCCUGCCAAAGCCACAGGAUGAACACAGAGCCAAGAACCUGAACCAGAAAAAUCCAGCAGGAAAGGAACCUGCACUAGCCACCAUCCUGAGGCUGCUGUACAGGGAGCAAUCCUACCGCAGGGACUUGGCAGGAGACCAGGGGCCUGCUCCCCAGUCCUCCUCGAGGGCCUCUGUCACCGACCUGCUUGUCUAGGAUCUCCUUUCUUUCUGCUUGUGCCACAUCUUUCAGGCCUGUUCUGGGUCUGAUGUGCUAUAGAACACUCUGUUCAGGCACUUGGGAAAUAGAGACUUCAUCACCAGCAUUUCCACCCCCAAAGAACUAGGCAGCACACUGGGAAGUUGCCAAAGGAAGGGACUCCAGCCUCCCAGGAGUUAACAACAUUUCUCCCCAGCUAUCCUCCCCUUGGUGCUCCUCUUCCUCCCUCCUCCUGCUCACAGCAGGCAGGGCCUGGAACCAGGAGCCAUGCUGCUGUGCUGUUGCCAGGGGAGCUGGGAGGCAGAUCGGAGCUAUGCAGGGAAAAGGCUCGGCCUGUCAGAGUGUCUGAGAUGAACCACCGCCAUCCCUGUGCAGCUGGGCUCCAUGUGUCUCAGGGCUCUUGUUCUGUGCCUGAGAACGGUGAAGCCCAGCGAGGUUCAAGGGCACACUCGCUAUUCAUCAGUCGGGGGUUCUUGACGGUCCUGCCUCUCCCAGGGAUGGGUUCCCCCCUUCCUCUUUCUCUCCCUCCUAUGAUACAUUCCUGGGUGCCUGUGGUGAGGACUGCACACCCCCUUCUCCACAGCCCCCCCAAACCCUGAAUCAACUCCUAUUAAGGAGGCCAGGCGAGACAGGGACAAUGGCUUCAAGAAAUCAUUCAGGCGGGACCUCAGUCACAUUCGCAUGCCCGUCACUCCCAGAGCCCCUGUAGAUCCCACUCUGCUGUGAUUCAGGGACCCUUGGGCCCCCAGCUUGCACAUGCCUAGACAGGAGCAGGCCACUAGGUGCUGCCCUACACAACAGGCCAGUGCAGUGUUUGUUCUCAGGGACCCUGGGGCCUCCAUCCCACUGGCUGGAUAGUGUGUGCAGUCAGUUGGAGAGCAGAAACUACAAUAUUUUCUGAAAUGUGGUAAUAUCAAGAUAUAAGAGGCACAUAUACGUGAUGACUAAUUUCACUUCAGAUAUACUGGAAAAGUUUGCUAAGAACAUGGACAAAGACCUGUGGUUGAGUAACGAGUCAUUUCAUUCCAUGGAAUAUUACACACCUGUAAGACUGUGGUAGAUCUACCUCUGCAUGCAGGCUGAUAGGGAAGGUUGCUAAUAUACUUAAGUGAAUAGAAUAAAGUACAAAACAGUCAA
Molecule: long non-coding RNA, 1745 nt
Filed under: Mus musculus (house mouse)
Lineage: Eukaryota; Metazoa; Chordata; Mammalia; Rodentia; Muridae
Description: Mir9-3 host gene
Source: RNAcentral